RNAcentral lists this long non-coding RNA (761 nucleotides) under Nicotiana tabacum (common tobacco). Its description in RNAcentral is "long non-coding RNA (NTAB_LNC013974)". Lineage: Eukaryota; Viridiplantae; Streptophyta; Magnoliopsida; Solanales; Solanaceae. The record is from RNAcentral.
AGCAAUUGAUCUUCUCUUCACCGAAAACUCAACGUUAGCUAUACUUUGCACUCCUUCCUCUCAGAUUUUCCAUACGAAUUUCUGACUUCUGCUCCCUUGUUCUGCAUUGUUUUAAACUACUAAGAAAGCAACAGUAAGUGUGAUUUGCUGUCGAACUUUGUGUUUGCUGAAACAUUGGGGUUUGAAGUACCGCUACACCAGUGUGUAAUUCGUUCUAUCCUGGGAGGAAAUAAUCCAUAACCUUGGGUAGUAGGAGGGGAUUAAAUUCCUUAAGGAAACACUAUGAAUUCAGUGGGCUCGAAUUAAUUUGUGUUUCAUUUAUAUCAUUUAUAUUUACGUUAAUAAGCUAACGUUUUAAUUUCCAUAAUCAUUAUUUUACAAAUACAGGAGGAACAACAAGCUUAAGGAAUUUAGUAAUUUUAAUUUCUGUAUUUGUGUUACUUUUAUUAUUCUGGAAACUUAAAACCUUUGUGGUUUUGUGUACUCCCAUUUGGAGAGUAAAUCCUUCGUGGCGUUUUGUUGGAGAUUAAAAUCUACGUGAUUUUUCACUCCAGUUUUAAACGUUUGUUUGUGUCAUUUUUACAGUAAAAAUGGCGAAUGACGGAAAUCAAGCUGUUCCGAUGAUGAUUGCCAAUGCAUCGACAAGUCGAACUCCGGCGUUGGCACCGGCAGAGAAACCCGGAAAAUUUUCCGGGAUGGAUUUCUAGCGCUGGCAGCAAAAGAUGUUCUUCUACUUGACUACGUUAUGUCUACAUAAGUUC